Long non-coding RNA from Vespa velutina, 546 nucleotides. RefSeq lists it as uncharacterized. The transcript has 3 exons. Lineage: Eukaryota; Metazoa; Arthropoda; Insecta; Hymenoptera; Vespidae. The record is from RefSeq and is a predicted model, not a curated record.
UCGGACCACCCAAAAUUUGACCAAUCACGAUCGUCGUUACUUAUUUAACGGUCAUUGUUCUUCGUGAAAGUGAACGCUGCAGGUCGUGAGGUCGAUUAUGCUGUAAAAAUAAUAAUAAAAAGAUUCAGCAGAACGUGCAAAUGAAUGUAUUCAUCUAUGUCCGUAAAUCGAUCCAAUUUUCGAGGUUCUUACAACGUAUGGAGUAAAUCAUUGGCAGCUAUAUUUCUAUGCUCAUUGUCAUCGAAUUUAUUCGAGAGACAAAGUGGAUGAUAGAAUGGAAAAGUUCGUACACCAUAAGAUGACGAAAAUUGAUUUCCCACCCUAAGAUGUUGAAGAUCGUAAGUAUAGGAUGAAAUCAAGAAAAGAAAAAAAAGAAAAAAAAAAAAAAAAAGAAAUGAAAGAUUUCCUACAAGAAAGUUUAAAAAAAAAAAAAGAAAAAGAAAAAGGUUCGUACAAAUUUCGUUAAUUUUAUUAUUAAUUUUACGAUAAACCAAUCCAAUUCGUGAAGUUUGAACUUAAUAUAAAAAAAAGAGAUCACAAUAAAUA